RNAcentral lists this ribosomal RNA (492 nucleotides) under uncultured bacterium. RNAcentral's name for it is "partial 16S ribosomal RNA". It matches the Rfam family "Bacterial small subunit ribosomal RNA", at positions 29 to 507 of the family's 1533-position model. The record is from RNAcentral.
AGUGAACGCUGGCGGUAGGCCUAACACAUGCAAGUCGAACGGCCGCACAGUAAGCGCUUGCUCUUACGGGUGGCGAGUGGCGGACGGGUGAGGAAUACAUCGGAAUCUACUUUUUCGUGGGGGAUAACGUAGGGACACUUACGCUAAUACCGCAUACGACCUACGGGUGAAAGCAGGGGAUCUUCGCACCUUGCGCGACUGAAUGCGCCGAUGCCGGAUUAGCUAGUUGGCGGGGUAAAGGCCCACCAAGGCGACGAUCCGUAGCUGGUCUGAGAGGAUGAUCAGCCACACUGGAACUGAGACACGGUCCAGACUCCUACGGGAGGCAGCAGUGGGGAAUAUUGGACAAUGGGCGCAAGCCUGAUCCAGCCAUACCGCGUGGGUGAAGAAGGCCUUCGGGUUGUAAAGCCCUUUUGUUGGGAAAGAAAAGCAGCAGGUGAAUACCCCGCUGUUCUGACGGUACCCAAAGAAUAAGCACCGGCUAACUUCGUG